This is a transfer RNA of Coprinopsis cinerea okayama7#130, 98 nucleotides long. It matches the Rfam family "tRNA". From Rfam's summary of the family: Transfer RNA (tRNA) molecules are approximately 80 nucleotides in length. Their secondary structure includes four short double-helical elements and three loops (D, anti-codon, and T loops). NCBI's taxonomy places the organism in Eukaryota, Fungi, Basidiomycota, Agaricomycetes, Agaricales, Psathyrellaceae. The record is from Rfam.
UGCCCCAUGGCUGAGUUGGUUACAGCGUCCGACUGUUAUAGAGCUUUUCAAGGCUUACUUCAAUCGGAAGGUCGUGAGUUCGAGCCUCACUGGGGCAG